Molecule: long non-coding RNA, 210 nt
Filed under: Lathyrus oleraceus (garden pea)
Lineage: Eukaryota; Viridiplantae; Streptophyta; Magnoliopsida; Fabales; Fabaceae
Description: Pisum sativum (pea) long non-coding RNA (PSAT_LNC010827)
Source: RNAcentral
UCGAACCUAAUAGUCAUCAAGCAAAACAAGAAGAGACGCUGAGACGUCAAAAGAAAGAAAAAGGGUUGCACGCACACAACACCAUAAAAAAGAGAAAAGGGCGCCCGGAGAGAUCUCGCUCGAUCUCCUGCCUACAUAUCUCAUCUGGUAUGAGAAUCAGGGCGACGUAGUUCCCCUUAACAGGGGAGAAACUCUCCUAACCAGAGACCA